This 253-nucleotide ribosomal RNA is filed under the name uncultured bacterium. Its description in RNAcentral is "partial 16S ribosomal RNA". It matches the Rfam family "Bacterial small subunit ribosomal RNA", at positions 524 to 776 of the family's 1533-position model. The record is from RNAcentral.
UACGUAGGGGGCUAGCGUUGUCCGGAAUCAUUGGGCGUAAAGAGCGUGUAGGCGGCCCGGUAAGUCCGCUGUAAAAGUCAAAGGCUCAACCUUUGAAUGUCAGUGGAUACCGCCGGGCUAGAGUCCGGAAGAGGCGAGUGGAACUCCUGGUGUAGCGGUGGAAUGCGCAGAUAUCAGGAAGAACACCGACGGCGAAGGCAGCUCGCUGGGACGGUACUGACGCUGAGACGCGAAAGCGUGGGGAGCGAACAGG